GACGAACGCUGGCGGCGUGCUUAACACAUGCAAGUCGAACGGAAAGGCCCUGCUUUUGUGGGGUGCUCGAGUGGCGAACGGGUGAGUAACCUGCCCUUGACUUUGGGAUAACUUCAGGAAACUGGGGCUAAUACCGGAUAGGAGCUCCUGCUGCAUGGUGGGGGUUGGAAAGUUUCGGCGGUUGGGGAUGGACUCGCGGCUUAUCAGCUUGUUGGUGGGGUAGUGGCUUACCAAGGCUUUGACGGGUAGCCGGCCUGAGAGGGUGACCGGCCACAUUGGGACUGAGAUACGGCCCAGACUCCUACGGGAGGCAGCAGUGGGGAAUAUUGCACAAUGGGCGGAAGCCUGAUGCAGCAACGCCGCGUGCGGGAUGACGGCCUUCGGGUUGUAAACCGCUUUCGCCUGUGACGAAGCGUGAGUGACGGUAAUGGGUAAAGAAGCACCGGCUAACUACGUG
RNAcentral lists this ribosomal RNA (457 nucleotides) under uncultured bacterium. RNAcentral describes it as "partial 16S ribosomal RNA". It matches the Rfam family "Bacterial small subunit ribosomal RNA", at positions 28 to 507 of the family's 1533-position model. The record is from RNAcentral.